RNAcentral lists this transfer RNA (71 nucleotides) under Marmota monax (woodchuck). RNAcentral's name for it is "tRNA.Ala". It matches the Rfam family "tRNA". Rfam says of the family: Transfer RNA (tRNA) molecules are approximately 80 nucleotides in length. Their secondary structure includes four short double-helical elements and three loops (D, anti-codon, and T loops). Further hydrogen bonds mediate the characteristic L-shaped molecular structure. tRNAs have two regions of fundamental functional importance: the anti-codon, which is responsible for specific mRNA codon recognition, and the 3' end, to which the tRNAs corresponding amino acid is attached (by aminoacyl-tRNA synthetases). tRNAs cope with the degeneracy of the genetic code in two manners: having more than one tRNA (with a specific anti-codon) for a particular amino acid; and 'wobble' base-pairing, i.e. permitting non-standard base-pairing at the 3rd anti-codon position. Lineage: Eukaryota; Metazoa; Chordata; Mammalia; Rodentia; Sciuridae. The record is from RNAcentral.
GGGGUUGUGGCUCAGUGGUAGAGCACUUGCCUAGCAUAUGCAAGGCACUGGGUUCAGUCCUCAGCACCACA